UACGUAGGUGACCAGCGUUGUCCGGAUUUACUGGGCGUAAAGAGCGCGCAGGCGGUCGUUCAAGUCGAGUGUGAAAGCCCCCGGCUCAACUGGGGAGGGUCAUUCGAUACUGAUCGACUUGAAGGCAGGAGAGGGAAGCGGAAUUCCCGGUGUAGUGGUGAAAUGCGUAGAUAUCGGGAGGAACACCUGUGGCGAAAGCGGCGCACUGGACCACAACUGACGCUGAGGCGCGAAAAGCUAGGGGAGCCAAACAGGG
This 256-nucleotide ribosomal RNA is filed under the name uncultured bacterium. Its description in RNAcentral is "partial 16S ribosomal RNA". It matches the Rfam family "Bacterial small subunit ribosomal RNA", at positions 524 to 777 of the family's 1533-position model. The record is from RNAcentral.